UAGGGAAUCUUCCACAAUGGGCGAAAGCCUGAUGGAGCAACGCCGCGUGAGUGAUGAAGGUUUUCGGAUCGUAAAACUCUGUUGUUAGGGAAGAACACCCGAGAGAGGAUCUCGGACUGACGGUACCUAACGAGAAAGCACCGGCUAACUCCGUGCCAGCAGCCGCGGUAAUACGGAGGGUGCAAGCGUUAUCCGGAUUUAUUGGGUUUAAAGGGUCCGUAGGCGGACUUAUAAGUCAGUGGUGAAAGCCUGUCGCUUAACGAUAGAACUGCCAUUGAUACUGUAAGUCUUGAGUAUAUUUGAGGUAGCUGGAAUAAGUAGUGUAGCGGUGAAAUGCAUAGAUAUUACUUAGAACACCAAUUGCGAAGGCAGGUUACCAAGAUAUAACUGACGCUGAGGGACGAAAGCGUGGGGAGCGAACA
RNAcentral lists this ribosomal RNA (422 nucleotides) under uncultured bacterium. Its description in RNAcentral is "bacterial SSU rRNA". It matches the Rfam family "Bacterial small subunit ribosomal RNA", at positions 355 to 774 of the family's 1533-position model. The record is from RNAcentral.